RNAcentral lists this transfer RNA (76 nucleotides) under bacterium. RNAcentral describes it as "tRNA-Arg". It matches the Rfam family "tRNA". From Rfam's summary of the family: Transfer RNA (tRNA) molecules are approximately 80 nucleotides in length. Their secondary structure includes four short double-helical elements and three loops (D, anti-codon, and T loops). The record is from RNAcentral.
GCGCCCGUAGCUCAGCGGAUAGAGUGUCUGGCUUCGAACCAGAAGGUCGGGAGUUCGAAUCUCUCCGGGCGUACCA